Molecule: long non-coding RNA, 483 nt
Organism: Pristis pectinata (smalltooth sawfish)
Lineage: Eukaryota; Metazoa; Chordata; Chondrichthyes; Rhinopristiformes; Pristidae
Exons: 3
Source: RefSeq, a predicted model, not a curated record
CAACUUUUGGACAUUUGAGAAACUUUACUGAGUGCUCAAAGUCUUUAGGUUGCAAUUCAGCUAGAUAUUCUCCAAGGAGUUUGAAGGCGAGUCUAAGUACCAGGAAAUGGAAUGGAAAGGGCAGAGUGAGCUUGCAGCCAGCUCCAACUGGUUUUGGUGGGAAAGUGCGAGGCAUGAGAUGGAAAAUGACAUGAAUGGGAAAGGCAGGAGGUCUCGCUAUGUCUGCCAUGAAAGUUAUCCAUCAGGGAAUUUCCAUUCAAGGCAGACCAAUGUUUUGCUGCAAUAGAGGAAGACAGAGGUGUACUACCCAUGUGCUGGAGUCAGAAAGUUCCGAAUCAUCUGGAUAAUAUCCAUAGUCUGAGGUCAUUGAACUAUCCUCCAGAUUGGGUCCAGGGGUGACCAUCUCAACAGCACCUCCUCCUGAAGAGGUCUCCACAGCUUCACUGGAUGGACCCAGGACUAGAGAUUCCUGUAUUUCAGAUG